CUGAACCAGCCAAGUAGCGUGAAGGAUGACUGCCCUAUGGGUUGUAAACUUCUUUUAUAAAGGAAUAAAGUCGGGUAUGCAUACCCGUUUGCGUGUACUUUAUGAAUAAGGAUCGGCUAACUCCGUGCCAGCAGCCGCGGUAAUACAGAGGAUCCGAGCGUUAUCCGGAUUUAUUGGGUUUAAAGGGAGCGUAGAUGGAUGUUUAAGUCAGUUGUGAAAGUUUGCGG
Molecule: ribosomal RNA, 227 nt
Filed under: uncultured bacterium
Lineage: Bacteria
Description: partial 16S ribosomal RNA
Rfam family: Bacterial small subunit ribosomal RNA
Source: RNAcentral